RNAcentral lists this ribosomal RNA (238 nucleotides) under uncultured bacterium. RNAcentral's name for it is "partial 16S ribosomal RNA". It matches the Rfam family "Bacterial small subunit ribosomal RNA", at positions 99 to 334 of the family's 1533-position model. The record is from RNAcentral.
CGACCGGGUGAGUAACACGUGAUUAACCUACCUUCGAGUGGGGAAUAAACCUCGGGAAACCGAGGCUAAUACCGCAUAAAAUCCCAGAGAUGCAAGGCUUGGGGAUCAAAGAAGCAAUUCGCUUGAAGAGGGGGUCGCGGCUGAUUAGCUAGUUGGCGGGGUAAUGGCCCACCAAGGCAAUGAUCAGUAGCCGGCCUGAGAGGGCGCACGGCCACACUGGAACUGAAACACGGUCCAG